This 199-nucleotide long non-coding RNA is filed under the name Sorghum bicolor (sorghum). RNAcentral's name for it is "long non-coding RNA (SBIC_LNC018521)". The record is from RNAcentral. Lineage: Eukaryota; Viridiplantae; Streptophyta; Magnoliopsida; Poales; Poaceae.
UGCCCAUAUCCCUUGCACCGGUGACAUUGUAUGUUGCUUGUUCUACCCGUCGAUGCCACGGAUGAAGUACUCGCAGCAGGCUUUUGUGUCGUCUUCGCAACUGAAUUGGUGGGGGCAGCUCGAGUCUUGUCACUAGAUGAUGGAGUAGAAAUACGUGUAGAUGGAGUUGAAGCCAUGCAUUGCUGCCAUGAAAUAGCCU